AGGACGAACGCUGGCGGCGUGCUUAACACAUGCAAGUCGAGCGGAAAGGCCCUUCGGGGUACUCGAGCGGCGAACGGGUGAGUAACACGUGAGUAAUCUGCCCCUAGCUCUGGGAUAGCUCCGGGAAACCGGGAUUAAUACCGGAUACGACCACUUUAGACAUCUGUUGUGGUUGAAAGAAUUUCGGCUAGGGAUGAACUCGCGGCCUAUCAGCUUGUUGGUGAGGUAACGGCCCACCAAGGCGACGACGGGUAGCCGGCCUGAGAGGGCGACCGGCCACACUGGGACUGAGACACGGCCCAGACUCCUACGGGAGGCAGCAGUGGGAAUAUUGCGCAAUGGGCGAAAGCCUGACGCAGCGACGCCGCGUGGGGGAUGAAGGCCUUCGGGUUGUAAACCCCUUUCAGCAGGGACGAAGCGAAAGUGACGGUACCUGCAGAAGAAGCGCCGGCUAACUACGCGCCAGCAGCCGC
Molecule: ribosomal RNA, 473 nt
Filed under: uncultured bacterium
Lineage: Bacteria
Description: SSU rRNA
Rfam family: Bacterial small subunit ribosomal RNA
Source: RNAcentral